CUUGGUCGUGAAGCAGUGAGUUGUUUAGUCUCCAUGAGCCUUUGCCUUUGUAUGUGAAUGCGUCAGUGAGUGUCAGUAUCACUGGGGCGUGGUCCGACCAUGUAAUAUCUCCAUGUAUACAUUGAUGCGUGUGUGGUAAUCCUGUGCUGGUCAUGAAAAAAUGAUCUAUCCUAGAGUGGGUCUUGUGCACUUGGGAGUAGUAGGUGUAGUCCUUAUCUCCUGGAUGUAGUGUGCGCCACACAUCGUAUAAGUUAAAUUGAAUUAGCAGUUUAUUAAGUUUGGCGCAGACCGG
Non-coding RNA from Pelobates cultripes (western spadefoot toad), 292 nucleotides. The record is from the annotation of a GenBank genome assembly. Lineage: Eukaryota; Metazoa; Chordata; Amphibia; Anura; Pelobatidae.